This is a long non-coding RNA of Stegodyphus dumicola, 368 nucleotides long. The record is from RefSeq and is a predicted model, not a curated record. Lineage: Eukaryota; Metazoa; Arthropoda; Arachnida; Araneae; Eresidae.
GGGGUUUGUCUGGCGAAAUUUGCAAGUGGAUUUAAUACUCAGGCACUGCAUGGAACAUACAGCGAUGGCAGUGAUGAUUUUGGGAUCUUUCAGAUAAAUGACAAAUAUUGCAGAAAAGGAGCAAAAGUAACUUGUGGUGUCAACUGUACAGAUCUUGUUUCUGAUGAUAUUGUUCCAAGUGCUAAGUGCGCGACAGAAAUACAUAAGAGAGAGGGAUUUUCACAUUGGCCUGCAUGGAGGAACAACUGCAGAGACAAAAGUCCUACAUGGUAUAUACAGAAAUGCGAGUUGCAGUCGAAUUCUAAAUCAUAGCUGUCGACUUAAUCAAUCUUCAGAUAAAAGAUGAAAUAAACUGAAAUACUGACAAA